This 157-nucleotide microRNA precursor is filed under the name Pelobates cultripes (western spadefoot toad). The record is from RNAcentral. Lineage: Eukaryota; Metazoa; Chordata; Amphibia; Anura; Pelobatidae.
GCAGACACAUUCCAGCCAAUCAGCAGCAGACCCUCCCUCCCAGACCCUCCCACCUCCUGGACAGCAUCCAUUUUGAAGCUGCAUUCUUAGUGAGCUGUCCAGGAGGUGGGAGGGUCUGGGAGGGAGGGUCUGCUGCUGAUUGUCUGGAAUGUGUCUG